Molecule: transfer RNA, 72 nt
Filed under: Phrynosoma platyrhinos (Desert horned lizard)
Lineage: Eukaryota; Metazoa; Chordata; Lepidosauria; Squamata; Phrynosomatidae
Description: tRNA-OTHER
Source: RNAcentral
GCCAGCGUGGUGUAAUGGUUUGAGUGUUGGACUACGACUCUGGAGACCAGGGUUUGAUUCCCAGCUCUGCCA